RNAcentral lists this ribosomal RNA (497 nucleotides) under uncultured bacterium. RNAcentral's name for it is "partial 16S ribosomal RNA". It matches the Rfam family "Bacterial small subunit ribosomal RNA", at positions 28 to 507 of the family's 1533-position model. The record is from RNAcentral.
GAUGAACGCUGGCGGCGUGCCUAAUACAUGCAAGUCGAGCGAACAGACGAGGAGCUUGCUCCUCUGACGUUAGCGGCGGACGGGUGAGUAACACGUGGAUAACCUACCUAUAAGACUGGGAUAACUUCGGGAAACCGGAGCUAAUACCGGAUAAUAUAUUGAACCGCAUGGUUCAAUAGUGAAAGACGGUUUUGCUGUCACUUAUAGAUGGAUCCGCGCCGCAUUAGCUAGUUGGUAAGGUAACGGCUUACCAAGGUAACGAUGCGUAGCCGACCUGAGAGGGUGAUCGGCCACACUGGAACUGAGACACGGUCCAGACUCCUACAGGAGGCAGCAGUAGGGAAUCUUCCGCAAUGGGCGAAAGCUUGACGGAGCAACGCCGCGUGAGUGAUGAAGGUCUUCGGAUCGUAAAACUCUGUUAUUAGGGAAGAACAAAUGUGUAAGUAACUAUGCACGUCUUGACGGUACCUAAUCAGAAAGCCACGGCUAACUACGUG